UGUUGAAGAAAUCGAUCAGGAUUCAGGUGGGUUGUCAACUUGUCAUCAAACAUGCAUAAUUAAAAAUGUCAAUAAAGAAGAAGAAAAAAACAUUUAAAUCCUCCAAAAAUAGGUACAGAUCGACAGAUAAAUCUUGGCAAUGGCAACCAAUGAAGAAUCUCUUGCUUUAACACCGCUCAAGUACCAGACGUGGAAGCUGAAGGUUUUCAUCCAUUGCAAUGGCUGUACGAGAAAAGUUAAGAAAUUGUUGCAAACCAUAGAUGGUACGUACUUCCAUUUAAACACCCAAAUUACUUGUUUAAUCUCACCAUAGAUUGUUGUUUUGCAGGUGUUUAUAAGAUCGCGAUCGAUCCCCAACAACAUAAGGUCACGGUGGUGGGUGAUGUUGGGGUCGAUCUCUUAAUCCAAAAGUUGGAGAAGAAUGGGAAACGAGCCGUGGUUUGGUCCGAUGAGGAGGGGCAUCAACCUACCGUCAAGGAGAAGGGGAAGAGUACUGUCCAACAAAACAGUGUUGCGGGAAGCAAUAAAUCUGUCAAUAAACCUGCCGGAAGUAAAGGGAAACAAGAUGAAUCAAACGAAAAAAAGAACAAUAAAAAAUCCAACACCAAUGAGAAGCAGCCGACCGAGGACAGGCAAAGUUCUAACAAGAAGAAGACUGCGACAGUGAAGGAGAACGGUGCUGAUUGCAGUGUUGGUGGACCAGAAGGAGGAUCUGGAGGUGGAUUGGAAGGAGGAGCUGACGAGAAACACCAACAAAUGAAGCAGCAUUCCAAAUUACCUGGAGUUUUGGUUACCUCCCCAGCUAUUUUAGCAGUGAACUGCAACCUAGUACAACCAAAUGGUGGGUUUUGGAGCUACGGUAGUGGUAACUCAGAUGUGCCGUCUUCUCAGAAUCCGAUGCCAC
This 904-nucleotide long non-coding RNA is filed under the name Zostera marina. RNAcentral describes it as "long non-coding RNA (ZMAR_LNC002414)". Lineage: Eukaryota; Viridiplantae; Streptophyta; Magnoliopsida; Alismatales; Zosteraceae. The record is from RNAcentral.